This 1738-nucleotide long non-coding RNA is filed under the name Mus caroli (Ryukyu mouse). RNAcentral's name for it is "RIKEN cDNA 4933425D22 gene (MGP_CAROLIEiJ_G0034590.1)". Lineage: Eukaryota; Metazoa; Chordata; Mammalia; Rodentia; Muridae. The record is from RNAcentral.
GUUUGCUGUGCCUCAGUCUCUUGACUUCACAUCUCAGUUCCCCUGCCAGAUCCCUAUCCAACUAAACCACAGCUCAGAUGCCCCGCAUCUACAAAAUGCCUUAACUCACCACCCCAACAUCUGAGUGAGGGAAGAGCAUCCUCAGGGAGCCAGGAUCCCACAGGACGUCAGCCCACCACUGAGUCUUCCUCAGGACUCAGCAUCUCCACUGGCUGUCUGAGUUCACAAACCAGGACAGGGCUCUGUUUCCCAGGGCUGACCACGAUGUUAGCUGCGGAUCAGAGGAUGGAGAACUAGAGAAGAAAGAACCAUCUAAAAGGACGGCAGAAUCACAGGAGAGAUCGAGCAUGGGGCCACAGAGAAAGCCUCGGGGAUACUACCGACCACGGAGACACCAGUGAUGUACAAAGAUCUCACCGGAAACAGAUGACAUCCUUCUGGAUUAGAGUCUCAAGUACUAAAGUACUAAAGAGGAUUAAUUCUGAUAACACCACUUUCAGGAAGUUUGACAACGGAGGUCAGAGCAUACACACAUCACUGACAAAAAACGGAUUACAGUAGGGUGAGCACUAAACGUGAAUCGGCGACGGACUGGAGGUCAGAUGGACACCCAAGUGGGUCAGGCUUAGAGGGCAGAAAAAAAGCUUCUGGUCUCUGCUUAGGUGGCGCGGGAACAGGAGACCUUUUUGGCCUCGGGCCCUGCAGACAGCCUUGCCUGCUGCUUCUGUCCCAACAGGCUACUAAAGCCAGGUUUUCAGACGACCCCGCUACCAGCUGCCAGUCCUCGGCUGUCCUUGGCUAUCUUCGGCUUUCCUCAGCCAAAAGACCCCUGAGCAGGAACACGCUCAUCUGUGUGAUGGACCGGAAGGCAGGUUCAUCAGGGUUCUCCAGGGUUGGAUGAAAGUAAUCUUGCUUCUGCAUGAAUGUGCACACACAAACACACACGCACACGCACACACACACACACAUAUACCUACACACACACACACCUACACACAAAUAAGAGGCAUUCCAACCCAUAUUCUUAUGAAGUAUAAGAAGUAAUAAUAAUUACCCAGAAACGCAAAAAUGAGAAAAUUACUGAAUCUGUACUUCACACUGACCACAUCUGGAGGCGACAUACUCUGAAAUCAUAUUUGAUAUCGGCCCUACCUACAAGCCACUGCGCCCUGCAAGAAACUGACUGGGUUACUACAAGACAGGCUGUGUACACAGCGUGGAUGUGGACACAGUAUGAGCUGGAGGGAGCUGGAGGGCCUGAGAUUUUUAUCACUGAACUCAAAAUGACAAACGAUUUAAACGUGCAAGCUAAUUUCUAGAAUUUCCCCUUUGAUGGUUUUGAAUUGUGGUUGACUGAAAUACCCAUCAUUAAAAUUGCAGAUAAGGAGACUGCUGUAUGUCUAGCAAAUUUUGAGGCACUCUGUUGUUUAAGGGAGGUGGUCUAGUGAGCUGGCUUGUUGCUGUAAGAAGCUGGCAGAUAAACUCCGCUGCUCUGCUGCCCACAAGCAGACCUCAGCAUCCUUCUAGAGUCAUCUAACACUAUUUCCUCCAUCAUAUGAAGACUCUUUCUUUACCUUUCAGGACAGCACAUGAUGGUUUACUCCUGGAUUAGCCAGCUGCUCUUUACAGCCCGUUUCACUGGGUUCCUUCUUGGUCUUAAGCCCAGGAUUUUGGGAUAUAUGUAUGAAUAAGGGAAUUUAUAUAUGAAUUGUAAGUCAAAAUGGCUAGCGUGAAACCC